UCCCUGAUAGCUAAGUUGGUAAAGAGUCUGCCUGCAAUGCUGGAGACCUGGGUUCAAUCCCUGGGUUGGGAA
Ovis aries (sheep) is the source of this 72-nucleotide transfer RNA. It matches the Rfam family "tRNA". From Rfam's summary of the family: Transfer RNA (tRNA) molecules are approximately 80 nucleotides in length. Their secondary structure includes four short double-helical elements and three loops (D, anti-codon, and T loops). The record is from Rfam. NCBI's taxonomy places the organism in Eukaryota, Metazoa, Chordata, Mammalia, Artiodactyla, Bovidae.